UUGGAGGGCAAGUCUGGUGCCAGCAGCCGCGGUAAUUCCAGCUCCAAUAGCGUAUAUUAAAGUUGUUGCAGUUAAAAAGCUCGUAGUUGAAUUUCGGAAUCAAUAUAUUGGUCGUGCCUCCGGUAUGCACUGGUAUUAUUGAUUUCUACCUUCUGACGAACUAUGAUGUCAUUAAUUUGGUGUCAUGGGGAAUCAGGACUGUUACUUUGAAAAAAUUAGAGUGUUUAAAGCAGGCACACGCUUGAAUACAUUAGCAUGGAAUAAUGAAAUAGGACGUUUGACCCUAUUUUGUUGGUUUCUAGGAUCGACGUAAUGAUUAAUAGGGAUAGUUGGGGGCAUUAGUAUUCAAUUGUCAGAGGUGAAAUUCUUGGAUUUAUUGAAGACUAACUACUGCGAAAGCAUUUGCCAAGGAUGUUUUCAUUAAUCAAGAACGAAAGUUAGGGGAUCGAAGACGAUCAGAUACCGUCGUAGUCUUAACCAUAAACUAUGCCGACUAGGGAUCGGAUGAUGUUAAUUUUUUAAUGACUCAUUCGGCGCCUUACGGGAAAC
This 549-nucleotide ribosomal RNA is filed under the name uncultured Glomeromycotina. RNAcentral's name for it is "SSU rRNA". It matches the Rfam family "Eukaryotic small subunit ribosomal RNA", at positions 548 to 1098 of the family's 1831-position model. The record is from RNAcentral. Lineage: Eukaryota; Fungi; Glomeromycota.